UACAGGGGGUGCAAACGUUGCUCGGAAUUAUUGGGCGUAAAGCGCGCGUAGGCGGCUACUUAAGUCGGAUGUGAAAGCCCUUGGCUCAACUGAGGAAGUGCACCCGAAACUGAGUGGCUAGAGUACGAAAGAGGGUCGCGGAAUUCCCGGUGUAGAGGUGAAAUUCGUAGAUAUUGGGAAGAACACCGAUGGCGAAGGCAGCCAUCUGGACCGACACUGACGCUGAGGCGCGAAAGCGUGGGGAGCAAACAGG
This 253-nucleotide ribosomal RNA is filed under the name uncultured bacterium. RNAcentral describes it as "partial 16S ribosomal RNA". It matches the Rfam family "Bacterial small subunit ribosomal RNA", at positions 524 to 776 of the family's 1533-position model. The record is from RNAcentral.